CCUGUGCCUGCCCGGGACCCUCCCUGGCGCCCUGACCUUUGGCGCCAGCUUCCUCUGGCAGCCUCGUGACUGGUCUCACCUCCCUGCGGCCUCAGCCUCCCUGGGGAGGAGGCUCAGCUCUCCAGCUGCUGUUUGGCAUCUGCCAGUCCUGCCUUUCUAGCUGUGUGUGACAUCUAUAGAUGAUGACAGCCCCCCCAAUUAGCAGCUAAAGUGACCAGGGCCUUUCUGGUCCUCACAUCUUUAGUCUGAGGGUUUUGUGAUAUUUUAUGAACUGAGCUGGUUUUCGGUAGCUCUUCACAAGUGCCCACUUAAAGGGCACCGAGAUACACGGCUGAAAACAGAAGGGGAAGUUAGACACUAAUCCUCACUACUGGCGACAAAAGAGCAGACAUCAGAGCGGCCGCACUGCACAGCCUUCUGCAACACAGGGCUGGGAGGUGUGGGGCAGAGCCACAGCAGGUGUGGGGGCACAAAGGCAGCAUGAAGGGAACAGCUUCAGGUAUUCACGGCCAAAUAGGGAGGUCUCUUAUUUUCACCCUCCCCCACUGCCUGCCAGGGGGCUAGAAAAAUUCCUUUUGUGAUCAGUCAUUUUCAGGGAAUUUUAAGAUGCAUGAAACAGGCUUUUCAUCCAAAUGUUCCUUGGCAGCCCAGGAAAUCUUCACCGGAUUAAAUGUGUGAGAAUGAGAAUGAACCCCAGAUGUGAGGCAUCCUUGGAAAUCACCCUGGGGGAUGAGUCCCAGGACUCAGUCCCAGACCAGGAUCGCCACCCCCCUAACCCCCGGCAGGGCUUGUCCUUGGCAGGAGAGACCGCUUCCCUGCACCCCAGGACCAUGCCAUUGGCCCCUGGAGCACAGAAACCAGGUGGCCACAUAUAGAGAAGGAUGGGGAGGGGGCCUGUGCGCCUGAGCUACCGUACUCUGGCCCGGAAAGUAGAGGGCAGUGUCUGACUUGGAGAUGUGUCUUGUCCAGGGAGGGUGAGGGGGAGCCAAGGCAGGCUGCGGGCCGAUCCGAGUCUGGGUCACUGCUAGGGACACAGCCACACCAGGCCCUGUGUUUACAGAUGUGCAGAAAAGGUUCUGGAGGGAAAUUCAUGAAGCUGAGGAGGCUCGUUCUGGAGGAGGAAGUGGUGGUAGUCUUCUGCACACUACACUAUACUCUGCAUUAUUCCCAUUUUACAUGGUUAUUUCUGUUUUAUAUGGUUUCAGUAUUUUUAAACCAUGCCACGAAAGUAUGCAGAAUCCUAUACAUCCGAGGUCAUCUGGACGCCCUCACGGGCACUGACAGUGGCACAGCCCGGAGCAGGGCUGGGGGGAGGUGGCGCCUCCCCAGCAGGAGGUGGGGCUCUGCCAGUGGUGUGGUGGCACAGCUCCCCUCUCCCGAGAGAGGGGCUGCUGCAGAUUUAACAAUGGAAACAUGCAUUUUACAAAUGAGAGGAUCAACAGCCGGGAAAUGGUAUUUUUAGCUACUGUGGCUCUUUGCUUCAAAGGCGUAUGUUUCAUCUAAAACCAGGCAAACCUCCUACAAAGUCUGCCUGUUUGCAAGGAGUGAUUAGCAUAACACGAGUAGGAAAAAAAGGCCUGGCUCCACUCUGAGGCAGGAGUGCCUACUACAGGGGGAGGCUUUCUCCUGAAAUAGAAGUGCCAGAUGAGAGAAGUCUUAUCAAUGGUGACGAAGCCCCCGUUCACUUGGAGCAGAAGUGCUGCCUUGCACUAAUGGCCUGGCUAUUAUGGGUGCGAUGUUGCCACUAGCAGAGUGAGAUCUGGGAGUGUAAACAAAACCAGGGCUCUGCCCUUGUGGGUGCUCUUUAAAUAUCACUUGUGCUUCAUGUAAUUGUCUUCUUCCAAUUUUAAGUACAAAGGGUUUUGGGGUUGUCUACAUACAUGUCUUUUCUGAGGGGCAGGGCAAAGCCAGUCAAGGUGAACAAGAGGGAUGGAGGGCAGGUGGGGACAAUCAUAGCACAAGGUCUCAGGUGGUGACGAUGUCCCCCUCCAAGGCCACACUGCUGCCCAUUGGAUGGCAGUGCCCCUGGCCACUCCCACCCGCCUGGCCUCUCUUCUCCCAGCUGUGUGCUUGGCCUGCACCCUCAAUGGCUCUUUUCCUGCCUGGACAGAAACCCAUCCCUGGCUCUGGAAGAGGACCCUGGAUCGUGAAGACAGCCUGGGGCUCUCCUAACACCACAAGCAAGGCUGUGACCUUCCAGAGCGAGAGCGGUCACUACAGAUAUGCAUCUCUGGGGCAGCACUGAAGACAGAUAACACCUGGCAGCUGCUCCAGGCCUCUGGCUGUCACACCAGGCCCAGGGCCCCAUCUGGAUGGGAGGGAGACCUGGGGCUGUGGGGGUGGGGAGCAGAAAGUGGCAGUGGGUGUGCCAUCUAUUUUAGGCAUCACCAGCAGAAUGAGAAGACUCCAGGCCCAGGCAUUUCUCCAUCACCUCUCACCCUUGGGGUUCCCCCCAGGGGAAAGAGCACAGAUAGGUUUUGCAGCAGAGGGUCAGGGGAUGGAAAUGCUUGCAGAUGGGAAACACAGCUGAAGACCUCAGAAAGCAAUUACCAUGCUACUGGGGGGCCUGGGAGAAGCAGAAGGAGCCAGAUUGGGCAGUUGCUCAGGCUUCAAGGGCAGGAAGGAAGGCAGGAAGGAAGGGAAUUCCAGGACUCUGCCAACUGUUAGAGCCGGGGCUCCCAACAGAGGUGGACGGGGGUCUCCUUCUGGACAGGGGAGGCAAGACUUCAUCCAUCAUGGAGAGAGGGGCUCAGCCCAGGUGGGAAGAAGCAAAAGCUGGCUUUACUCUACUCAGGAGAGACAGGAGAUUCAAGUCAGCUGAGUGCUCAGGGCCUGGAAUGAACUGCGGAAGCCAGCAUCCCUUGAAGAGCCAAACAAGCAAAGGGAAGUGACGAGUGGAGUGGAUUUAAACUUACUCCCAGCAGCACAGAAUCUUGCAGAAUGAUGCAGCAGCAAGAUCCCUUGCCAAGCAAGCUGUCUGAGUCAGCUCCUUAAGGGGUCUUAAGAGAUCUAAGUAGCCUUUGGGGUCUUAAGAGGCUAUGGGCAGGGGAGGGGUUAAAGGCCACAGCUGUGCCAGCGACUGAGUGAGGGUCUCACCCCAAUUUACUUCAAUCCUCCCUUGGUGGGCUCUGGACUGCACUUCCUUUCCAGCUCACUGGAAGCUCUGGGGGCUGCUGGGAAGCUAGUCCCUCUGGCACAGCCUCCGUACACCUACAGCCUGUGCAAAGGCUCCAGGUGGCCACCCGUCAGUAGCUUCACCUCUCAGGGACUGUGCACCCUACCCAGGUGGACAGUGCUUUCUGAACCUACCACAGGGCUACUUGUGAGGCAACCAGGGCCAGGUCCCCCUGCCACCUUACAGCCACGCAGCAAGCCUCACAGAGGGCUUGAGAUCCACCUCUGGACUCCUGGGAAGAUGGCCUGCAGUGCCAGAGACGCUGUCCCUUCCCUGCCCCCAGCUCAUUUCCACUGAUCUUUUGUGGCAGCUUAGACAUCAUCUCUCUCCAGAAGCUUUCCUGGACCCUUCCACUGGGCUGGGCACCCUGCCCCCACCCCAUCUGCUCCCACAGAGCUUCACCAUGCCGCGAUGCUGCCACUGGGAUCUUGACAAACCCGAGCUCUGCCCACGGUGGUGUCCCCACUGGUGGGCACUGGGUCCAACACUGGUGGACGCACGUCAGGUCUGCUCAGUGACAAAUGGCUGCUCGGUGCUCCCCGGGCUAGCACAGCGGCAGUGCCCUUCUGGGUGCCAGGCGGAGGCUCUUCUCUGUCCUUGCAGGGAGGAUGGUGAGCACUCGCCUCCAGCAGUUCCAUUCUCAGACGCAAGGCUCUUGCCCAGCCUGACAGCUGUGGCCUAAUUUCCAGGGCUAUCACCGGACUCCUUAUUUUUACCCACUUGGUAUUUUUCAUUACUGAUGUGGGGGGCGGCGAGGGACUGGAGAUGGGGGAGGGUGUGGACAAAUGGAAGACACAAAUGCUAUGGGGCCGCUGUCAGGGUGCUGGGGGAGGGACAAGCCAGGCUGGAAAGGGAUGGGGGUAGGGGUGGGAACAGAGAUGGAUCCAAGGGGGAAAAAAAAAUCCCAAAUCCCACUUCUUGAUUUUCCUCAGUAAGCAUUUUUGACAAGGUCACAAAUGCACUGGCUCUAUAGAUUGUUGGCUCUAGACCACAUUUCAGGCAGCCUUUAAAAGCCAAUUCUUGGCAUAGCUUCAGCAGAGCCCGAGGAGAGGGAAAACUAGGGCACUUUUAUGCUCUGAGAAAACAUCGGAUCCAGGUCACAGCUUCCUGGCUGCCCAGAAGCGGUGGGGCACCCCUCCUCUGGGCCUGAACCUGAGCACCCCCAGCCCCGCAUUUCCUUCCAAGCAGGAACUGUGAGGCUGGGUCACACACUUCUUUCUUGUCACCUGUCUUCCUGUCUCUCUAGACUGCAACCUUGGUGCAGGCAGGAACCACAGCCAUCUGUCCCUAUGUGCCCAGGGCUGGCAUGGCGCCUGGCACACCUCAGAAUGGACGUAAGGGAACCCUGGAUCCCCGCCCCAGCUAGGUGAUCUCUCUUUUUAUAAACUCCCCAGCAUUCAGCCACCUAAAAUGCUCCUGUCACACCGGAAAUGCCUCCUCUCGGGAUGAUGGAGGCUGCUGGCUCAGUGCACAGUGGGCAGUUGGGGAAAACGAGGGCUCAGUUUCCUCUUGCAUUUAAGAACUCAGGAGAUCCUUAAGGCCCCUCCUGGCUGCCAUCUGCCUGAGACUGUCCUCAUCUCUCUUCAAUCAUGGCCCCGUGGCAACCACCUGGGGACCCAUGUCUGAAGAUGGGAUUGAGUGGACCCUGCUGGGAGGUGCUGGGCUAUGUCCACCCCUAGUGCCACAUAGCACAAGGGAAGAAGCCCUGUUCUGCCAACGCUGACACCUCUAGUCUCAGGCAAGCACAGUGCUGCUGAUGGAGGGAAGCCACACAGGAGCGAUUAGCUGGGAGGCCUGUGGGAUUCCUCGUGUGCCGCCCACACUCCAUCGGCCUGGUCCUCACUGCCUGCUCCCAGCCGGUCUCUGAGAAGGGUGCUGAGUCACAGACCUCCCUUCACCCUCCCCUGCCCCUGGAGGGAUGGAGGAUGUAGCUGCUGGGAGGUGAGGGAGACACUCCUUCUGCCAGCGCCGAAAUGGCCCUUGUGGGGCCUACUUCCCACUUUCCGGCAGUCAGCGUUAGAACCCAGAGCACAAGGGCACGCUCAUUCAGUCUCCCCCCCAGUGUCCGCUACCUUGGAUUCUAAUUCUGCAAGCAACUGCUUCUCUGCCUGUACCUGAAGGUGGGCACAGGACCUCCUGCACCAAAAGUGGGCACAGUUGGGUCUAUUACAGUCGGGCAUCACACAGCCAGGCCUUUUCUGACCACCCUGAAGGCUGUGAUGAGACUCAAGCCCAGGACAGUUGCUGAAGGGUGGGGUGCUGAGAGGAGUGAGCCUCCGUGCCACUUCGCAAGUGGGCCGUGCAAGAAUGGGGCUGACAGGAGCAAAGGGAGAGAACUGUGCAGGAGGGGAGAGGGAGGCCAAGUCCUGAUGAGAGCGGGGGCCUGAUCUAUUUAUCUAUCCAUCCAUCCAUCCAUCCAUCCAUCCAUCCAUCCAUUUCAUACUCCGUAGCCCAGGCUGGCCUCGAACUUGAGGUGAUCCUCCUGCCUCAGCCUCCCAACUUCUGGGAUUACAGGCAUGCGCCACCACACCUGGCUCACCUUUUUUAAAAAAACAUGAGGUUGAGAAUUAGUUUUCUGUCCUGUGCCAUCUGGUGUGUGGAAUGGGCAGGCCUGAACAAGUGCAGGGUCAGCAGGUGGGGAGGGGGAUGCAGUGGAAGGAAGGAUGCUGGGAUUCCAGUCUAUGUUUAAUGCAGACUCUACGGCUUUCUCCCUCACCCUCCUCUAGAAAACAAGAGAAGCUGAAUCAACCCCAGAACAUCUGCUUUCCAAGAGGGGCUCCUGGACACAGUGGCAAACAGCCGGCUGCUCGGGUCACCUUGGAGGACAAGUGCUCUCCCCAUGUCAAGUUCACCUGUGGCCUCUAACCUUCUACAGCCGUGCUCAAAGUGCUUGGAUCCCUGAAACAUGGGGGUGCUGCCCUUUGAAGCCCAGGCUCCCAGAAUACACUAUGCAGCGACCCGCCCCCCCCAGACCCCUCCUCCUCCUGGCCCUGGGAGAGUCUAAUUAAUGCCAGCCCAUUGCAUGUGGUUUCCAUUUGCCAGAGGAAAAGAUGGCCCUCUCGCCGUGGGUGCCAGUGUGCAGGACGGUGCCGGGACUGCUUGGAGUGGGCAGAGCAAAGCCAGAGCUGGCCCCAGGUCGCUCGACCCUCUUUCUACUCCUGGGUCAGCGAGGGGCAGAAGGGCUCCAUCUCAGAUGGUUCUGUGAUGUGCUGGGAUGCUGGUCACUGCCCUGGAUUAGGGGAUAACGGACAUGCAGAAUGGGUCAGGGUCUCUGAAUACUGCCCCUUGCAAGGACAUGUGUUCCCCUUGGAGGGUAGGACUUUUCUUCCAGGCAGUCCUUUGUGUCAGAUCAGGCCUCCCUGUCACUCACAGUCCCGCAGUGUUGGCUCCAAUUAGUGGACUGGAAGCCAAGGGCUGGUUGUGCAAGAUGGCUUCUGCCACACCCUCCUCUUUGCUGCCUUGCACUGAAACAGAAGUGCCCUGCGCUGGGCCCCAGCGUGGGGGGAACCCAAGAGAUUCACACAAGGAGCUGGGCAGACCUUAAUUAAGUCAGCCAGAAGAGGAGCUUCCUCUGAGAAGAAAGGAAGACAUUCCUCAGAAGAAUUCCUCCAGCCCUGUUCAAUGUCCUGUCUCCUUCCCUCAGCGGCGAACCCAAUCGAUAUGGCUGCAAAAUAACAAGAGGUCAAAACCUGUCGGCACUCUGGGGAGGAGUAUUGUACAUAGCUAAGUUAGGUGGGAAUAUUAUAUAGGCAGUCAGGCCCUCGAGAGAGUCAGUGCAGAGGACGAAAACACAUUACAAGGGUGUCUAGAGGUACACCUGCUGGAGGCCAGGCCUCAGCAUAAAGAUGGAAUGGCCAGACCUAAGAUAAGUGGUAACACCCAGUCUAAUGAAGUCUAGCUAGACAUCAGUCACCUUGGUGGGAAACCAAGACCCCCAGACUCACCCCUUCCUGAAAAGUUCUUUCUUCUUCCAUGUUCACUUGCUAUGUGACUUGUUUCCCCACUGGGUCACUAUUACCUAAGCGACUAUACUAACAAUCUUACUGAUUGAUCACAGCUGUAACCUACGUUGUACCCAUGUGGUUGUGUUCUGUAAUACUUCCCCUGAGAAGUGGGGUUCUCAGCAACCCAUUUUUGGGCCCCUUCCUGCCUCUCAGGAGCUGUAUCUUUCCCCCGAAAUAAAUAUUUCCUGCUCUGAA
This is a long non-coding RNA of Heterocephalus glaber (naked mole-rat), 7374 nucleotides long. RefSeq lists it as uncharacterized. The record is from RefSeq and is a predicted model, not a curated record. NCBI's taxonomy places the organism in Eukaryota, Metazoa, Chordata, Mammalia, Rodentia, Bathyergidae.